This 135-nucleotide ribosomal RNA is filed under the name uncultured eukaryote. Its description in RNAcentral is "partial 18S ribosomal RNA". It matches the Rfam family "Eukaryotic small subunit ribosomal RNA", at positions 1299 to 1458 of the family's 1831-position model. The record is from RNAcentral.
UCGUGGAGCGAUUUGUCUGGUUUAUUCCGAUAACGAGCGAGACUCUAGCUUACUAAAUAGUCUGGUCUUUAUUACUGAGGCCUGACUUCUUAGAGGGAUUUUCGGUGUUCAGCCGCACGAGAUUGAGCAAUAACA